Molecule: ribosomal RNA, 273 nt
Filed under: uncultured prokaryote
Description: partial 16S ribosomal RNA
Rfam family: Bacterial small subunit ribosomal RNA
Source: RNAcentral
CGUAGGGUGCGAGCGUUGUCCGGAAUUAUUGGGCGUAAAGAGCUUGUAGGCGGUUAGUCGCGUCGGAAGUGAAAACUCGGGCCUUAAUCCCGAGCUUGCUUCCGAUACGGGCUGACUAGAGGAAGGUAGGGGAGAAUGGAAUUCCUGGUGGAGCGGUGAAAUGCGUAGAUAUUAGGAGGAACACCAGUAGCGAAGGCGGCUCUCUGGACUGUAACUGACACUGAGGCACGAAAGCGUGGGGAGCAAACAGGAUUAGAUACCCUGGUAGUCCCU